RNAcentral lists this ribosomal RNA (218 nucleotides) under uncultured Leptolinea sp. Its description in RNAcentral is "partial 16S ribosomal RNA". It matches the Rfam family "Bacterial small subunit ribosomal RNA", at positions 1165 to 1382 of the family's 1533-position model. The record is from RNAcentral. Lineage: Bacteria; Bacillati; Chloroflexota; Anaerolineae; Anaerolineales; Anaerolineaceae.
GGAGGAAGGUGGGGAUGAUGUCAAGUCAGCAUGGCCUUUAUAUCCUGGGCUACACACACGCUACAAUGGCCAACACAAUAGGUUGCUAAGCCGCGAGGUGGCGCCAAUCCAUAAAGUUGGUCUCAGUUCAGAUUGUAGGCUGCAACCCGCCUGCAUGAAGAUGGAGUUGCUAGUAACCGCAGGUCAGCUAUACUGCGGUGAAUACGUUCCCGGGGCUU